RNA transcript from Eutrema salsugineum, 1090 nucleotides. RefSeq lists it as uncharacterized. The transcript has 2 exons. NCBI's taxonomy places the organism in Eukaryota, Viridiplantae, Streptophyta, Magnoliopsida, Brassicales, Brassicaceae. The record is from RefSeq and is a predicted model, not a curated record.
CACCUUUGUCGUUGUCUGGCCUUCUCUCUAACCUUGGCCACAAACUUCUGACCAACCAUGAAAAACACUUCGUCUUCUCCGGCCAUGUCUCCGCAAGUUACUCCUAAGUCGUUCCUGAUUACUGAAAGAGCACCUCCAACUUCACCGUCGUUAACACUUCCGCCUCCACCAAUUCCAAUCAACUUCAGUUCAGAACCAUAUAAGUGACCUUUCAAGUUUAUCUUGACCAAUAACUUACGACACCUCUAAACGCAGUUCCAAUCGAGUCCUGCUUGACUCCAACCUUUUCCUCUUGGUUACUUUUACCAGCUCCAGAAGAAAUGCGAGAAUUUGAUGAGCUUCUUCCCUGUGCCAGGUACAACCCCCAAUCACAGAAAAACUCUUCAAAUUUCCUGACUCGUUCUUUACCAAACGUGCCUUACUCUCCUUGUUGAUUUAUAUAUCGAUAAAACUGCCACCACUUCUCUGUUUAUACUCUGUGAGGUGACUCAACCAACAGGACCAUCUCCGAGUAUGCCUGCAAUCGAUCAGACGACGACUUUGAGUGUUACGAGGCACAUCUUGAAAGAUUUUCUAGCGCCAGCUCGAAACCCGUAGUCACCUUUUUUUUGCGUGCUCUUACUCCAAACAGGUGUGGAAGAAUGUAGCACAUGUGUUUCUUCUCAGGGAAAUCUCAGCAACUGGAAUUCGGUGGUUAACAUCAUCUCACGGUCUCAUCAAAAUCAUUUGAAAAGUUUCAUCAUUAGAUACCUGUUCCAAAUGACGAUUUAUGUGCUGUGGAGAGAAAGGAAUGAUCGACGACAUGGAACUACACCUGCUUUGGUAGCUCGGCUGAUCAAGCAAAUUGAUAAAGGGGUACGAAACAGAUUUAGUUCCAUCCGUAUAAUGCAUGAUGAACGGUAUCAAGAGGGUAUGCAGGUUUGGCUAGCUUCUAGGCCUGAAGCUUGAGAAAGCAGAAAGCUGUGUUUUCAAGUAUAAGUUACAAGCUCGUUUCCCAAUUAAUUUGUUCGCAUGUACGAUGUAGAAAACUUUCUACAGAAUUUUUCUUCCAAAACAAAAUUAUAAUAAAAUAAAAUAUCGAAAUGUGAGA